GACGAACGCUGGCGGCGCGCUUAACACAUGCAAGUCGAACGGAAAGGCCUGCUUUCCCUUGUGGAUUGCGGGUACUCGAGUGGCGAACGGGUGAGUAACACGUGAGUGAUCUGCCCCCAACUUGGGUAUAAGCCUGGGAAACUGGGUCUAAUUCCCGAUAGGACUGCAGGGUGGUGCCUGUGGUGGAAAACGAUUUUCUAGUGGUUGGGGAUGAGCUCGCGGCCUAUCAGCUUGUUGGUGGGGUAAUGGCCUACCAAGGCGGCGACGGGUAGCCGGCCUGGGAGGGUGGACGGCCACAUUGGGACUAAGAUACGGCCCAGACUCCUACGGGAGGCAGCAGUGGGGAAUAUUGCACAAUGGGCGGAAGCCUGAGGCAGCGACGCCGCGUGGGGGAUGACGGCCUUCGGGUUGUAAACUCCUUUCGACCGCGAGGAAGCCACCUGGUUGGAAGGGUGGUGACGGUAGUGGUAGAAGAAGCACCGGCUAACUACGUG
RNAcentral lists this ribosomal RNA (494 nucleotides) under uncultured bacterium. RNAcentral describes it as "partial 16S ribosomal RNA". It matches the Rfam family "Bacterial small subunit ribosomal RNA", at positions 28 to 507 of the family's 1533-position model. The record is from RNAcentral.